Molecule: long non-coding RNA, 495 nt
Organism: Vidua macroura (Pin-tailed whydah)
Lineage: Eukaryota; Metazoa; Chordata; Aves; Passeriformes; Viduidae
Exons: 3
Source: RefSeq, a predicted model, not a curated record
AAGUGACCUACUCAGUUUUUACUUCAUUUUACUUCAUUUGCAGUUUAGGUACAGGAAGAAAAGAAUCCAUCUGUGGAAUUUCCCUGUGCAAGAUGCCAAAUGCUCAGUUGGAAAGGAGGCUUCUUCCCCCAGUCAGCUGCUGCAGCAGAGGAUGCACAGUGUCAGAGGUGGAGAUGGCCAAAAUUAAGCCAAAGAAUCCUUGGUGCUGUCCUGUGUCUGAACACCAGAGCACUGAAUACUGAGCAGAACUGUCUCCUCUGUACCUCAAGAACUUCCUGCAGGAAAUUUUUAGACUGCUGGUGGCAGCCCCAUGGAAUGAGUCAGCUCCGUGCUGCUUUCAGUCUGGUGAAUGAGAGGAUUCUGGAGGCAUAAUUUCUUUAUUACUGAAGCCUGGGUUUGACAAAAUUGUAGAAUUCACUGCUUUCUCAUAGAUAUGUGUGUCUAAUUGACAGAAAGAAAACACCAAAGCCUUGUGUGAAUCAGAAUUCCAGAAUC